AUUCUUAACCGCUGCUGACAAACCAUGGGGUGAUGGAGAGACUGGAGACAACCCAGGCUAGCCCUCAUUGAACAGACAAGAAGAAGUUCCCUGAGGCUUCUGAACCUGGAAGGCAGGGUCCCCACUCACAGUGUUCGCUGCUGUGUUGUGGGGCCUUGUCUAUGCCCAAUAUGUGGCAUCUUCUAAGUAUACAUUGAAAAUUGUUGGAUGAAUGAAGAAAUGAAGGAUGACGUCCUGGAUGACCUGCUACCGUACAACGAGAUCCUGGGCAGACAAGGAAAACUGCUUUCCGGACACAGCUGGGAUUGUGAUAAAGUGAAUGAGUGUCUAAAGAGAAGCGGAAAAACAAGCUGUGAGCUGAGACGGGACAGACGGACAGAUUCUUUCCUGAGGUUGAACCGUAUGGACGUGCUCAAGGCUCUUAACUCUUACUAUCGAAUUGUCUUCUGGAAACAAUGCUGUACCAAUGUAACUCUGUGUGAGUGAGGGCCCCUCCUACCUUCUUGGACACUGACUGUUCAGCAUAAAUUUUAGCAGCAAUUUUGGUUACAGCUAUGUUGACAGCUGAGUUUAUUCCAGAUCUUUCUAAGUAAACCAGCAUAACUAUAAAGGAGUCCUUGGGCUCUAAAACUCUCAUCCUGAUCCAUGUCCUUUCCCAGAACAUGAUGAGAUGUGUCAGGCUCACGGGAUGGGGGCCUCGGUGUCCUGUGCAUUCCCAGUUCCGUGAAUCUGUGGAGUUUUGCAAUGGGCCCGUUGGGAAAGAAGAGGCGAGGCUGGGCAGCCUGUGGGAAGAGCGUCUGCAGGCGAGACGGGACCUGCGUGGAGCUCAUCUGACGUCAGGCGUUGGCCAAAUCUUGCUGAGUUGCAUAGCUGCCCUGAGGCAGACCCGAUAAGAACAUUCCAGAAAGCAGCAGACCUUCAGGGCAAGACAGGGGACUGAUAACAGGGAGCUCAUCCAACUCCAAACAGCAACACUGAGAAAGCCCAGGCAGCUCCGGCAGCUGUGUGAGCCCCUCUAAAACCAUGCACGUCCCUUUGAUGAGGCCCCGGGGGGGUGGGGGGACCUUAGGGGCAAGCUCUUGCUGAAGCAGCCGUGCAUCCCUCACAGGGUCUGCUGGGCAUGUCGAUGCUGAGUCCUUUAAGGCUUGAAGUGACUUCAGAGGGUGUGUGCGCGUGUGUGAGAGGGGGUGGGUGUGUGUGUGACCCAGAGAGAGAUGUGCGUGUGUGCGUGUGGGUGUGAGUCUGUGUGUGCGUGAGUGUGUCUGCGUCAGUGUGUAUGACUUCUGGGACACAAACCAACAUUUGGAGAAACCAGAAUCCUGUGGAUUCUGCAUAGCUGCAGAAGCCUCUCUUCGAGGGGCCUCCUUCCCGAAGAUGUCAACUACAGACUCCCCUUGGAGGGUAUUCGUGGGCACAGGAGGCGUGACCAGGGAACGUGCUGGAGGCCCUGGACCCCUCUGAGGAGCACCCAGACCCUCGGUGCUCAUAGUGAUGGUGAAUCCGUCAGUGACUGGGGGCAUCGCUGUCUAUGAAAGGCCGUCCUGGUGGCCGCUGGCUGAGUGUGUAUCCCCCUGCACGUGCCCAGAGGGGAGGGGCUCCGUGGACAUCCAUGCACUGGCUGGCUUUGCGGUCAUCUUUCUAAAUGCUGGCUCCACUUUCAGCGACGUCUUUCCAGAGGCCUCGAGUCAGGUUUCACAGGUAUCACGGGCCCGGGUUUAGCAUGGGAACCCCUGUUUGCACGCUUGAACUUGUGGGACAGUGGGCUCAGCUCUUGGGUCGGCCUGGUCCCAGUUACUGGGGUGCAGUGGGGGAGGCCCCCACAGUAGUUCCAGCCAGCGCUGUGCACAGGCCGUGGAUGGUGGUGCCCUGGUCCUCCCAACGCCAUCUCAGCUGUUGCGGACCCUUCCUGCUGCACAUGGUCUUUCCUGAUCCCUGCCCUGCGCUAGAGGUGAAACGGAGGCAAGUGGA
Equus quagga is the source of this 1968-nucleotide long non-coding RNA. RefSeq lists it as uncharacterized. The transcript has 4 exons. The record is from RefSeq and is a predicted model, not a curated record. NCBI's taxonomy places the organism in Eukaryota, Metazoa, Chordata, Mammalia, Perissodactyla, Equidae.